AGUUUGAUCCUGGCUCAGGAUGAACGCUGGCGGUCUGCUUAACACAUGCAAGUCGAACGGAGUGCUUCGGCACUUAGUGGCGGACGGGUGAGUAACGCGUGAGAAUCUGCCCUUAGGACGGGGACAACAGCUGGAAACGGCUGCUAAUACCCGAUGUGCCGAGAGGUGAAACAUUUUAUGGCCUGAGGAUGAGCUCGCGUCUGAUUAGCUAGUUGGUGGGGUAAGGGCCUACCAAGGCGACGAUCAGUAGCUGGUCUGAGAGGAUGAUCAGCCACACUGGGACUGAGACACGGCCCAGACUCCUACGGGAGGCAGCAGUGGGGAAUUUUCCGCAAUGGGCGCAAGCUGACGGAGCAAGACCGCGUGCGGGAGGACGGCCUAUUGGUUGUAAACCGCUUUUGAUAGGGAAGAAGCACUGACGGUACCUAUCGAAUCAGCAUCGGCUAACUCCGUGCCAGCAGCCGCGGUAAUACGGAGGAUGCAAGCGUUAUCCGGAAUUAUUGGGCGUAAAGCGUCCGUAGUGGGUUGUUCAAGUCUGCCGUUAAAGCGUGGCGGUUUAACCCAUACCAGCAUUGGAAAUGGGACGAUAGAGUGCGUAAGGGUUCAGGGAAUUCCCAUGUAGCGGUG
This 627-nucleotide ribosomal RNA is filed under the name uncultured bacterium. RNAcentral describes it as "bacterial SSU rRNA". It matches the Rfam family "Bacterial small subunit ribosomal RNA", at positions 10 to 683 of the family's 1533-position model. The record is from RNAcentral.